This 1992-nucleotide unclassified non-coding RNA is filed under the name Daphnia pulicaria. Its description in RNAcentral is "uncharacterized LOC124337179, transcript variant X4". Lineage: Eukaryota; Metazoa; Arthropoda; Branchiopoda; Diplostraca; Daphniidae. The record is from RNAcentral.
GGAUUUAUCCCUAUGAUGUUCUUCAAGACCUAUUGAAAUCUGUCUGCUCUUUGUGCAACAGCAGAUCGAACAGCACAAAAUCACAAUAUCACAUGUCACACAAUCUGCUUCAUGGUUUUCCCCUUUUCGGUCUAGAUUUUUUGAAAAUUGAAUCAAAUGAGUAGUGGCAAAGCGAAGAGUGUACGACCUUCUCGCAAGAUUUGAAAAUGAUGAUUUUAAACUUACUGACUUCAAUCCAGAAGCAGUAGAAAUAUAACAGGAACCAAUGCACAUACCAUCACAAUUGUUUUCCUCGCUACAACAUAAUUGUGAACAACAGUGCAUUUAUGACAUGAGCUUUAAAAUCUUGAGAUACUUGAUUGAAAAUCAGCAAGUUGGAAAACAAUUUUUGUGGAAAAUAUUUGUAAAUUUUCUACAGAAAGAUUGUGCUUUUUUCUUGCCCUUGUUGUCGGAAUGUUAAAAAGUAUUCCUCAAGCCGCUAAAAGUUCAUCACAGUGAGUUGCUUCUAUUUCACACAGUUCUACUUUUAAGCAAGGAAAUGUAUGAUAAAGCUUACCAAGAAGCUUGCAAUUUUACUGCCAGGGAAUUAUCAAUUGAAACCAGUUAUUGUGAAACUGCUAAAGCUGCUUCAUCAGCUAUACUUAUGGGAUACAAGACCAUUUUGGACUACCAGAAUAUGGAUACUGGUGAUGAUGAGAUGCUCCAUGUUAUUAAGGAGUCAUUCCAACUGCUGUUUUCAAAGAAAACCUUUGAGCCUUUGUUUGCUGAACCCUACACUUACAUUUUGAUGAAGUUGAAAUUACAAGAAGAAGCUGAAGCAUUUCUUGAGAAGUAUGUUGAAAAAGAGUUUAAAGGAAAUUUUGGAGUCUCUGGUGCCCUUCAUCCCUUGAAUAUAAUCAAGUUGCAUAUUCCAAAAGCCAGUCCAAAUCUUACCAUCUCCUUCCUUGAAAUGAUUGCAAAGAGAGAUUUUGGAAAUUCAAAGGUAUUAGACCUAUGUAAACACUACUUGCAUACUCUUAAUUCUGCGACUUGCAGUAUCUCUGACAAUGAAUCCGAUUGCGGUUCGGAUGCAGGCCCCAUUUCAUUCGCCCCUGAACCCAACGGUGUGUGAACAAAUGUCUAGAGUUGAUUAUGUGCUUUCUAGACAUUUACGUAAAACACUUACCUUCUGCUGUCAUCAAAAAAGAAUGGAGUAUUAUGACCGAAAUCCUGAAAAGGAUUUGCUUGCAAGGCAGAGGAGUACUACACCACCAAGGCAGCGGAGUACUACACCACAAAGGCAGCGGAGUACUACACCACCAAGGCAGCGGAGUACUACACCACCAAGUAUGCUGCCCAAGCCCAUUAGACCGAGGCUCUAAGAACUACUCCGUUCCCAGCUACUACAUCGAGGCUCCAGUUUAUUACACCACCACGUGGUCAAAUACUACACUGAAGCGCCCAAGUACUACUCUGCCCCGAAUUACUACACAGCGGCUGUUCCUUCGUUCUUCGUGGGACCGAAGUACUACACUGAGUCUCCAGUUUACUACACUACAACUUACGCUGCACCUAGCUACACCUAGCCAAUACACCAAGGCCCCCAAGUAAUACAUCGACGAGGCCGCAAGUUGAACUACAACCCACGUUGCCCUCAGCUACCAUACCGAGGCUCGCUCCCAAACCGACGCUUCCAAGUACUACACAACCAAGGCACCCGAGCUACUACUUAGGCUGCUCCGACCUACUGCACCGAAGCUGCGAAGUAUUCCACUGCCCCGAGUUACUACACCACCAAGGCACCUGAAUGUUACAUCACAACCUUCGCUUCUCCAGUUUACUACAGGGAGGCUCUUAAAUACCAGAGCCGAAAUGUCUGAUUUAUUUAUUUGUGUUUGUCGGUCAUAUCUUAAUAGUUACUAUAGUAACUGGGAAUAGUUGUUGAUCUUAAAUGAGAAAAUAAAUGUUUUAAUGGUAACCAUCUUCUGCGACAUCUCCUAAAACACCUUCAAG